RNAcentral lists this ribosomal RNA (254 nucleotides) under uncultured bacterium. RNAcentral's name for it is "partial 16S ribosomal RNA". It matches the Rfam family "Bacterial small subunit ribosomal RNA", at positions 524 to 776 of the family's 1533-position model. The record is from RNAcentral.
UACGAAGGGGGCUAGCGUUGCUCGGAAUCACUGGGCGUAAAGGGUGCGUAGGCGGGUCUUUAAGUCAGGGGUGAAAUCCUGGAGCUCAACUCCAGAACUGCCUUUGAUACUGAGGAUCUUGAGUUCGGGAGAGGUGAGUGGAACUGCGAGUGUAGAGGUGGAAUUCGUAGAUAUUCGCAAGAACACCAGUGGCGAAGGCGGCUCACUGGCCCGAUACUGACGCUGAGGCACGAAAGCGUGGGGGAGCAAACAGG